RNAcentral lists this non-coding RNA (26 nucleotides) under Mus musculus (house mouse). The record is from RNAcentral. Lineage: Eukaryota; Metazoa; Chordata; Mammalia; Rodentia; Muridae.
UAAUUUUUGAGGAUGGGCUAUUGAGG